Jatropha curcas is the source of this 880-nucleotide long non-coding RNA. RefSeq lists it as uncharacterized. Lineage: Eukaryota; Viridiplantae; Streptophyta; Magnoliopsida; Malpighiales; Euphorbiaceae. The record is from RefSeq and is a predicted model, not a curated record.
CUUCUUUUCCUUUUAACCUAUACUUUCCAUUAACAUUAAUUACUUCAUACACUUUCCAUUUGCUUGUCCAACGUUUUUCCUUCAGCUGUAUAAAGUUCUUCUAUACCAUCUCCAUCUCCUUCUUCUUCUUCCAUGUUAGGUCAUGUGUAUGGAGAUGCUUGGUAGUGCAUUUUGGACAAGAAUAAAGAGGAGAAGGAGCAGAAGACAAUAUCAGAGGCUGAAGCAUAAUACAAAAAAAUGGAAGAUUAGAGUGCAAAAGCUGAAAUUAAGACCAAAAAUCAGUUCCUCCAUGAAGAUUUUGAGAAGAUUUAGAGAUGGUUAUGUUCAAAUGAUGAUUAAAUUAGCUGAACAUUUACCUCAGUUGAACAAUGGUAAUAAUGUCAGCUUCUCUUUUAAGAGAAUUAUUCAAAAAUCAUCUCCUUUCUCAUAUUCAGAAAUGUCUAGUUUCUAACUAUGUAAUUUUUUUUUUUUUUUUUUUCUAAAAAUGCAUCAUCUUAUCAACGACCAUGUAUUUUGUUAUCUUGUAUAACUGGUUGUGAUUGUGAAGGCCACAUGGGCUUUGCAGGGGAGGAAAUGGGCAUGGGAUAUUCUGAAUAUGAUAAUAUAUGUUUAGACAUCGAUAUGUACCUGCUCUGCUGGAGCUGGUGCUUUCUCCAAAUUGUAGCCAUAUUGUGGACCUGCUGGAAAUAAAUUAUCCUCCUGGCUAUAUUCGAAAUGGGAAAUGGAGACAAUUUAGAAAAAAUAAGCUAGGUAUGGGAAUCGGCUCCCUACUGAGGAUGGAUAAUGACCCAAUUGAUCAUAUCUCCUUCUUGUUUGAUUUAUUUGUACUAUGAGGUGCGGUUAAAAUCGUUGUAGAUAAUUUCAUCCAUUGGUUCAAGCA